GGCCGUGUGGCUCAAUGGCAGAGCGUCUGACUACGAAUCAGAAGGUUGCAGGUUCGACCCCUGUCUCGGUCA
RNAcentral lists this transfer RNA (72 nucleotides) under Cerataphis brasiliensis yeast-like symbiont. RNAcentral's name for it is "tRNA-Arg (ACG) (tRNA-Arg-ACG-1-1)". It matches the Rfam family "tRNA". From Rfam's summary of the family: Transfer RNA (tRNA) molecules are approximately 80 nucleotides in length. Lineage: Eukaryota; Fungi; Ascomycota. The record is from RNAcentral.